AUGCUCUGUUUUCUCUUCAGAUCGAAUAAAUCUUUCACCUGUUACUAAAGAUUUCCGUGGAGAGGAACAACUCUUGAGUUUUUGGUCCAUUUUUUGAGGCCUUGCCUUAGCAAGGAA
This 117-nucleotide small nuclear RNA is filed under the name Microcebus murinus (gray mouse lemur). RNAcentral describes it as "U5 spliceosomal RNA (ENSMICG00000022856.3)". It matches the Rfam family "U5 spliceosomal RNA". Rfam says of the family: U5 RNA is a component of both types of known spliceosome. The precise function of this molecule is unknown, though it is known that the 5' loop is required for splice site selection and p220 binding, and that both the 3' stem-loop and the Sm site are important for Sm protein binding and cap methylation. Lineage: Eukaryota; Metazoa; Chordata; Mammalia; Primates; Cheirogaleidae. The record is from Rfam by way of RNAcentral.